GAAUUCACUAGUGAUUCAGGCCUAACAGAUGCAAGUCGAACGAGAUUAUAGGGUAAGCUUGCUUACCCUAUAUGACAGUGGCGCACGGGUGCGUAACGCGUAUGCAAUCUACCUUAAUCAGGGGGAUAGCCUCUCGAAAGAGAGAUUAAUACCGCAUAACAUUAUGAUAUGGCAUCAUAUUAUAAUCAAACAUUUAUGGGAUUAAGAUGAGCAUGCGUGACAUUAGCUAGUUGGUGAGGUAACGGCUCACCAAGGCAACGAUGUCUAGGGGAUCUGAGAGGAUGACCCCCCACACUGGUACUGAGACACGGACCAGACUCCUACGGGAGGCAGCAGUAAGGAAUAUUGGUCAAUGGACGCAAGUCUGAACCAGCCAUGCCGCGUGCAGGAAGACGGCCCUACGGGUUGUAAAGUGCUUUUAUACGGGAAUAAACCUUCUUUCGUGAAAGAAGCUGAAUG
Molecule: ribosomal RNA, 459 nt
Filed under: uncultured bacterium
Lineage: Bacteria
Description: bacterial SSU rRNA
Rfam family: Bacterial small subunit ribosomal RNA
Source: RNAcentral